GAUGAACGCUGGCGGCGUGCUUAACACAUGCAAGUCGAACGGAAAGGCUCCUGCUUGCAGGGGUACUCGAGUGGCGAACGGGUGAGUAACACGUGGGUGAUCUGCCCUGCACUUCGGGAUAAGCCUGGGAAACUGGGUCUAAUACCGGAUGGGACCACAUUUUGGAUGGUGUGGUGGAAAGUUUUUCGGUGUGGGAUGAGCUCGCGGCCUAUCAGCUUGUUGGUGGGGUAAUGGCCUACCAAGGCGUCGACGGGUAGCCGGCCUGAGAGGGUGUACGGCCACAUUGGGACUGAGAUACGGCCCAGACUCCUACGGGAGGCAGCAGUGGGGAAUAUUGCACAAUGGGCGCAAGCCUGAUGCAGCGACGCCGCGUGGGGGAUGACGGCCUUCGGGUUGUAAACUCCUUUCGCUAGGGACGAAGCGCAAGUGACGGUACCUGGAGAAGAAGCACCGGCUAACUACGUG
RNAcentral lists this ribosomal RNA (465 nucleotides) under uncultured bacterium. RNAcentral's name for it is "partial 16S ribosomal RNA". It matches the Rfam family "Bacterial small subunit ribosomal RNA", at positions 28 to 507 of the family's 1533-position model. The record is from RNAcentral.